UACGGAGGGUGCGAGCGUUGUUCGGAAUCACUGGGCGUAAAGCGCGUGUAGGCGGCCUUCUCAGUCUGGUGUGAAAGCCCGGGGCUCACCCCCGGAAGUGCAUUGGAUACUGGAAGGCUGGAGUACCGGAGAGGAGGGUGGAAUUCCUGGUGUAGCGGUGAAAUGCGUAGAUAUCAGGAGGAACACCGAUGGCGAAGGCAGCUGCCUGGCCUAACACUGACGCUGAGGUGCGAAAGCGUGGGGAGCGAACGGG
This 253-nucleotide ribosomal RNA is filed under the name uncultured bacterium. RNAcentral describes it as "partial 16S ribosomal RNA". It matches the Rfam family "Bacterial small subunit ribosomal RNA", at positions 524 to 776 of the family's 1533-position model. The record is from RNAcentral.